Molecule: ribosomal RNA, 433 nt
Filed under: uncultured bacterium
Lineage: Bacteria
Description: partial 16S ribosomal RNA
Rfam family: Bacterial small subunit ribosomal RNA
Source: RNAcentral
AACGAACGCUGGCGGCAUGCCUAACACAUGCAAGUCGAACGAGACCUUCGGGUCUAGUGGCGCACGGGUGCGUAACGCGUGGGAACCUGCCCUUAGGUUCGGAAUAACUCCCCGAAAGGGGUGCUAAUACCGGAUAAUGUCUUCGGACCAAAGAUUUAUCGCCUUUGGAUGGGCCCGCGUUGGAUUAGCUAGUUGGUAGGGUAAAAGCCUACCAAGGCGACGAUCCAUAGCUGGUCUGAGAGGAUGAUCAGCCACACUGGGACUGAGACACGGCCCAGACCCCACGGGGGGGAACAGGGGGGAAAUUUUGAACAGGGGGAGAAAGCCAAACCCACAAGUGCCGGGGGAGGGAUGGGGCCUUGGGGGUUGAAAACCCUUUUUCCCGGGAAUUAUAAUAAGAGACGGGGAAGAAAAGCCCCCGGCACCCCCCGUC